RNA transcript from Ctenopharyngodon idella (grass carp), 3092 nucleotides. It is a transcript of the gene named Gamma-secretase subunit Aph-1b-like, with no coding region annotated. Lineage: Eukaryota; Metazoa; Chordata; Actinopteri; Cypriniformes; Xenocyprididae. The record is from RefSeq and is a predicted model, not a curated record. The transcript has 8 exons.
AAUCAUUUAAACCAAACAAAAGCCCUCGGAAGUGUCGCGUGUGUUUUUUAUUCGGGAAAGAAAAACUGAAGAUUAAGUUUGAAAAUGUUACCAAACAAUGCGCUGACAGAAGGACGAUGUAAACCACGCCAAUAUCAUCGGAUUUAUUAGCUUUGAAGUCUUUGAUAGAUCGAUUCUUUAUUUGGCUGUGUACGACAGUUCUGUGAUUUGUCUGUAUUGUAACGCUGCAAAUGAAAUUGGCAGGUUUAAACUAUCUGUGAUUGAUGGAGAAUUAAGUAAACCUGUCUCUACAGGCAUUGUUCGUGUUUACUUUCACAACACUGCUGCUGUACAUUUAGUGUAUUUCUGUUCGAUCCCGAUUGUUGCUCAUAAUCGAAUGAUCGGGUAGCUCAGUUAAAUAUAAAGAGAAAGGAGCUCGUCCAGAAUGACUCUGGCAGUGUUUUUUGGCUGUGCUUUCAUAGCGUUUGGUCCAGCUUUCGCCCUGUUUGUUUUUACUAUCGCCAAAGAUCCAUUAAGAAUCAUCAUUCUGAUCGCAGGGGCGUUUUUUUGGCUGCUGUCUCUGUUGCUGUCCUCUCUGGUGUGGUUCAUCGCUGUGAAGGCUAGUAACGGGUCAGAGGAUCCCACCCUGCCGAGGGCCCUGCUUAUUUUUGGAGUUUUCUUUUCGGUCUUGCUCCAGGAAGUGUUUCGUUUUGCCUACUACAGACUGCUCCGGAAGGCCAACGAGGGUCUGGCAGCCAUUAGUGAUGACGAUGGUUUAGCCAUUUCAGUCCGGCAGAUGGCUUACGUGGCUGGGCUGGGCUUUGGCAUCAUGAGUGGUGCGUUCUCCAUGAUCAACAUCCUGUCUGACUCUCUGGGUCCCGGGACGGUCGGCAUCUAUGGAGACUCACAGUAUUACUUCAUUACAGCAGCGCUGAUGACUCUGGCGCUGACGCUGCUGCACACGUUUUGGGGCGUAGUGUUCUUCGAGGGCUGUGAGAAGAACCGCUGGUGGGUCAUCGCUGCUGUCGUCUGUCUCCACUUGUUAGUCGCUGGCCUGUCGCUGUUGAACCCGCUGUAUGAAGGCAGCCUGCCUCCUGUGUACGUCAUUACGCUGCUGAUGGCCGUCUGGGCCUUCUUCUCAUCUGGAGGAUCACUAAACAACCUUAAUGCACUCUGCACACGUAAUUUUGAGAUUAGGUUGAGCAAACUCUGGUUUUUCGGGUUCAAGAAGGUGGAUUGGUUCAUCACCAUAGUAACACUACACGGCUAACCUGCUCCAGAGCAGAUUUUAUUCUGGGUUUGAGAUCGCAAACCAAAACUGGACCAAUCGGCUGCAGGAAAGCUGAAGGGGAAUCUUCAUAAGAUGGUUUUUGUCACACAGUACCUAGUGAGAUCCAGGACGAGAGAACGGCUGAGUCUGCUGCUUGACUGAACGGCAGCGGUUUGCGAAAGAGCAUAUCUACCAGCUCCAAACCCUGAGGGGAUCCAGACACGUCCCCUCCAGCAUCAGUGAUCUCAGACGGGCCAUGAGACUCUCACACAAACACUGUAAAUAGCUUGAUCUGAAUGCAAAUCAAUAAGACAGAUCUUUAAUAUUAUUUUAUUUUAAAAGCAACAUUCUCUGGCUCUUCUUGUGAAUGUUUGUGGUUUUGAGUUUUCUUCCUUGAUGUCCUUUACAUUUUGAAUGAAGCCUUAUUGUAGAGCCACUGUUAGGGGAAGAAAGUGACCAAAACAGUACCUCUUCACCCUCUUUCACUCAUUUAAUCAUCAUUAUCAUUAUUAUUAUUAUUAUUAUUAUUAUUAUUAUUAUUAGUCAAGAGCAUUUACAUUUACUGGCAUUAAAGGCUUUUCAUAUUUGUACUGUACAUUCUGGAACAUAUCUUUGUUGUGACAAAUGAAUGCACAAUGAGAACAUUUAACUUUUACGCUGUUCUCAAACUAAACAAAUAUCUCAGUGUGUAAUUAUGCAGUUUUUGGACAGAUUGAUGCCUGGUCAUCACAGUUUUAAAAAGUCAUUUUUCAUCAGCGUUGAAGUCAUUUGGUUAACACUUUAUUUUACAGUGUCCUUGCUACCCAUUACAUGUACUUACUAUAGUAAUAACCCUAUAUAGUAAGUACAUGUUGUUAAUUAAUAUUACUCGGUACCUACAGUAACUAGGACACAUUAAAAUAAAGUGUAACUGCCAUUUUUCAUUAAUGUAGAAUUAAAGUAAUUUGGGUAACACUUUGUGUCCUUGUUACAUGUACUUACUAUAGUAAUACCAGUAAAUUAUGCAUAAUUACAUAUAACUAACCCUAUAGUAAGUACAUGUUAAUUAAUAUCACUCAAUAACGACAGUAAUAUGGACACAUUAAAACAAAGUGUAACCAUCAUUUGUUUGUAGCUCAGUAUACAAUGGGAAGAACAAAGCAGCUAAACUUCAUUUUCAUCAUAUUUCUGACAAUUGAAUGCAAACUUUACAUGUGUGGAUGGGAAGCAAUAUCUGGAUAUUCCAGAGUCUUUUCUGUUCAUUAAUAAGCACUUCAGAAGUGGUGCUGGACCAUGUUGUUAUCAUGUGGAGGACAGUUGAAGUUAUCUGAGACUUGGAUGUACAUUUCACACUUGUCAUCUCAGUGACUUGAUACUAACACAGCUUUAAUUCCUAACCCAGCACACUAACAUCACAGCUUUUACUUACACAUCAGCUGUUUUCCAGCCUUAAAGCACAUUCAGUACACUCAUUGUGGCGCGUCUGUGUUUGAACUUGUUGCUUAUCAAACACGAUCAGCAUACGUUGCCUUCAGUAACCACCAACAUUCGCUGUGCUUCUGUAUGUUAAUGUAUUGCUUUGUGUACCCAUCCUCUGUGUCUGUGUGCAAGCGGUUUCUGGUCUGUAUUUGGCAUCGUGUUAAGAACUGUGCAGAUGGAGCUCUCUUCAUGGUCUAUUCUAUAUAUUGGACACAAUAACUUGGUGCUUUCCUGAAUUUCAAUUACAAAAGGACUUGUAAUUAUGUAACAUUUUAAUGCUGCUUUAUAAAGUUUCUAAGAAUAUGAUGUGCCAAACAGGGAAUCUGAUUGCUGUUCAAAUUGAUUUGGAAAAGAGAAAAAAAGAUUAAAAAGACCCUGUUAAUCA